Long non-coding RNA from Oryzias melastigma (Indian medaka), 527 nucleotides. RefSeq lists it as uncharacterized. Lineage: Eukaryota; Metazoa; Chordata; Actinopteri; Beloniformes; Adrianichthyidae. The record is from RefSeq and is a predicted model, not a curated record. The transcript is spliced from 2 exons.
AGAUGCUAUUAUUCCAGACACUCCGAUACUUCAGAGUGGCUGCUGACACUCUGUCAGCCCAGAACACAAUAAGAAGAAUUUUACUUUCCUUCUAACUACAGAGCACGACUUUCAAGUUGUUUAUGCCGUAGUGAAAGAACCAGAAUAUUCCGGCUCGAAUUUUGAUUUAAAGAUCGCUUUAGUGGCGAUCCACGGACUGAGUCCGCCUGGCUGCAUGCGGCGAGGAUACCUGACAUCCGAGCCACCUCCGACCUGAGCGCAGAGCUAAAUGAAAUGUUUGCCGAUUAUGUCCUCGCCGCGCUGCCGGUCACAGAGUCAAUGCGGACAAAUGAGCUGAUCUGUGGCCGAGCAUGGCCUGAAUUCUAAAGGAGACGUUACUCCACAGACGCUCAUCGAUGCCAGCAGAGAGACAAGGUUCCAGUGGAUCACAUAAACCCUUCAGGACUAUAUUACUGGUCGUGCUCAGAGCCACAUAUUUAAAGCACCGAGCGAUACCUUUUUCAAUAAAUUGGCACAAUUUUGUGAGA